RNAcentral lists this ribosomal RNA (501 nucleotides) under uncultured bacterium. RNAcentral's name for it is "partial 16S ribosomal RNA". It matches the Rfam family "Bacterial small subunit ribosomal RNA", at positions 30 to 523 of the family's 1533-position model. The record is from RNAcentral.
AUUGAACGCUGGCGGCAGGCUUAACACAUGCAAGUCGAGCGGGGGAAGGUAGCUUGCCACCGGACCUAGCGGCGGACGGGUGAGUAAUGCUUAGGAAUCUGCCUAUUAGUGGGGGACAACAUCUCGAAAGGGAUGCUAAUACCGCAUACGUCCUACGGGAGAAAGCAGGGGAUCUUCGGACCUUGCGCUAAUAGAUGAGCCUAAGUCGGAUUAGCUAGUUGGUGGGGUAAAGGCCUACCAAGGCGACGAUCUGUAGCGGGUCUGAGAGGAUGAUACGCCACACUGGAACUGAGACACGGCCCAGACUCCUAAGGGAGGCAGCAGGGGGGAAGAUUGGAAGAUGGGGGGAACCCUGAUGCAGCCAUGCCGCGUGUGUGAAGAAGGCCUUAUGGUUGUAAAGCACUUUAAGCGAGGAGGAGGCUACUCUAGUUAAUACCUAGGGAUAGUGGACGUUACUCGCAGAAUAAGCACCGGCUAACUCUGUGCCAGCCGCCGCCGUAA